GGCCUGAUGGUCUAGUAGUAUGAUUCCUUGUUAGGGUUCGACGCUUAGCGUCACGUGUAGUCACGUGCCUCGAGGAGGUCCUGGGUUCAAUUCCCAGUUAGGCCC
This is a non-coding RNA of Mycena belliarum, 105 nucleotides long. Lineage: Eukaryota; Fungi; Basidiomycota; Agaricomycetes; Agaricales; Mycenaceae. The record is from the annotation of a GenBank genome assembly.